RNAcentral lists this ribosomal RNA (526 nucleotides) under uncultured bacterium. Its description in RNAcentral is "bacterial SSU rRNA". It matches the Rfam family "Bacterial small subunit ribosomal RNA", at positions 20 to 518 of the family's 1533-position model. The record is from RNAcentral.
UGGCUCGGGACGAACGCUGGCGGCGUGCCUAAUACAUGCAAGUCGAACGGUCUUUUCUAUGGAAGCUUGCUUCCACUGAGAAGAUAGUGGCGAACGGGUGAGUAACACGUGGGUAACCUGCCCAUAAGAGGGGGAUAACAUCCGGAAACGGGUGCUAAUACCGCAUAGUUUUCUUGAUCGCAUGAUCGGGAAAGGAAAGACGGCCUUUGUGCUGUCGCUUAUGGAUGGACCCGCGGCGUAUUAGUUAGUUGGUGAGGUAACGGCUCACCAAGACGAUGAUACGUAGCCGACCUGAGAGGGUGAUCGGCCACAUUGGGACUGAGACACGGCCCAAACUCCUACGGGAGGCAGCAGUAGGGAAUCUUCCGCAAUGGACGAAAGUCUGACGGAGCAACGCCGCGUGAGUGAAAGAAGGUUUUCGGAUCGUAAAACUCUGUUGUCAGAGAAGAACAAGUUGGAGAGUAACUGCUCCAGCCUUGACGGUAUCUGACCAGAAAGCCACGGCUAACUACGUGCCAGCCGCGGC